UACGAAGGGGGCUAGCGUUGCUCGGAAUUACUGGGCGUAAAGCGCACGUAGGCGGCUUCUUAAGUCGGUGGUGAAAUCCUGGAGCUCAACUCCAGAACUGCCUUCGAUACUGGGAAGCUCGAGUCCGGGAGAGGUGAGUGGAACUGCGAGUGUAGAGGUGAAAUUCGUAGAUAUUCGCAAGAACACCAGUGGCGAAGGCGGCUCACUGGCCCGGUACUGACGCUGAGGUGCGAAAGCUAGGGGAGCAAACGGG
This 253-nucleotide ribosomal RNA is filed under the name uncultured bacterium. Its description in RNAcentral is "partial 16S ribosomal RNA". It matches the Rfam family "Bacterial small subunit ribosomal RNA", at positions 524 to 776 of the family's 1533-position model. The record is from RNAcentral.